CCGUUGCUUGUCAUCGAUCUAAGGUGGAGGGAUGUCGACGAUAACUGUUUUGAGGGGGAGGAUGUUGUUGUCAUCAUCACUGAUUCAGGAUGGAGGGUUGUCGCCGGACACCAUUUUGAGGGGAUGGAUGCCACCGAUCAUUGAUUUGAGGUAGAUGGCUUUUGUUGGGCACCAUUGUGAGGGGGAUGGCUGCCACCGGUCAUCAAUUUGAAGUGGUGUGUUGUCGUCGGGUGCCAUUUUGAGGAGGGGCUUCUGUUAUCAUUCUAUAACUGAAUCGAAGGUAUAUACUCCCUCUGUUUUGAUGUACUUUGCAUGUUACUUAAGUGAAGUCGAUGUUAUCCAUGUGUAGAUGAAUUCAAUGGUAUUGAGAUUUGAUAUUGUAGAUGCUAAUAAAUAUGAAUACAAAGUUAGGCAAAGUUCACAAAGGAUUGUUUUAAGACAAAGUUAAUAUGCAGAGUAAAAAAAAUAUGUGAUAUUGUGUUAAAUAUAAUUAUGAUUCACAUAUAAUUACUUGUAAUAGUAGGUUAUUAAUGUGCUGCUUUUGUUUUGUUGCAGACAUGGAUCGAGCUUGGAUAUACAUCGAGAGCCGUUUGAGCAAUGAGUUCAAGGAUGGGCUGUCAGAUUUUUUGGAAGCAGUCGAUCGAGAUAGGUUGAGAAGGAAGGCAAAUGGAUAUGUUCCCCAUGUUUCCUGUGUAAAAUUUGCAAGAUAUCAAAAGCAUUAUAGGGAUCCGGACACAUUUGAUCUAGAGGGUAUUCAUGUUAGGAUAUGCAUGUUGGAGUAAACAUGGUAAACAUAUAAGUGCAUGUGGUGACGACAAAAGGGAAAAUGUGGUGAAUAUCUGAUAAACCACAAGUAUAGGGGAUCGUUUGUAGCCUUCUUCGAUAAAUAAGAAUGUCGAAC
Molecule: long non-coding RNA, 901 nt
Filed under: Triticum aestivum (bread wheat)
Lineage: Eukaryota; Viridiplantae; Streptophyta; Magnoliopsida; Poales; Poaceae
Description: long non-coding RNA (TAES_LNC005570)
Source: RNAcentral